ACUCAGUCGCGGUGCGGCUUGAACACCACCGUCGCCAGCGGCGGGAGCACGACCGUGAUCGAAUGGUCGCGGCCGUGGUGCGGCUCGGCGGCUGCGUG
RNAcentral lists this transfer RNA (98 nucleotides) under Planctomycetia bacterium. RNAcentral's name for it is "tRNA-Ala". The record is from RNAcentral. Lineage: Bacteria; Pseudomonadati; Planctomycetota; Planctomycetia.